RNAcentral lists this non-coding RNA (28 nucleotides) under Rattus norvegicus (Norway rat). The record is from RNAcentral. Lineage: Eukaryota; Metazoa; Chordata; Mammalia; Rodentia; Muridae.
UCUGAGGCUUUACUUAGAGCUCCUUGUC